UCCUUUUUAAAUAAAAUUUAAUUAAAUUAAAAUUUCACUUAAUAAUUUAAUAUUUAUUUUAAUAAAAUUAUUAUUUAUUAUAAACUGAAAAAUUUUAAUUUAAUUUUUGUUUAACCGCAACUGCUGGCACAAAAUUAGUUAUUAAUUUUAAUAUUACUAAAUCUUAAUUUCUUAAAUUUUUAAUAUAAAUUACUACUUAAUUUUAUUAACUAUUAUUAAAAUAAUUAAAAUUAUAUACAAAAAUUUAUAUGUAAAAUAAAUUUAUAUUAAAAUUAUAAAAACAUAAUUAUUUUAUU
This 296-nucleotide ribosomal RNA is filed under the name Melitaea latonigena. RNAcentral's name for it is "partial 12S ribosomal RNA". The record is from RNAcentral. Lineage: Eukaryota; Metazoa; Arthropoda; Insecta; Lepidoptera; Nymphalidae.